GAUGAAGAACGUAGCGAAAUGCGAUAAGUAAUGUGAAUUGCAGAAUUCAGUGAAUCAUCGAAUCUUUGAACGCACAUUGCGCCCGCCAGUAUUCUGGCGGGCAUGCCUGUUCGAGCGUCAUUUCAACCAUCAAGCCCCCGGCUUGUGUUGGGGACCUGCGGCUGCCGCAGGCCCUGAAAAGCAGUGGCGGGCUCGCUGUCACACCGAGCGUAGUAGCAUACAUCUCGCUCUGGGCGUGCUGCGGGUUCCGGCCGUUAAACCACCUUCAUAACCCAAGGUUGACCUCGGAUCAGGUAGGAAGACCCGCUGAACUUAAGCAUAUCAAUAGCGGAGGA
RNAcentral lists this unclassified non-coding RNA (335 nucleotides) under soil metagenome. Its description in RNAcentral is "partial contains 5.8S ribosomal RNA, internal transcribed spacer 2, and large subunit ribosomal RNA". The stretch from base 1 to 120 matches the Rfam family "5.8S ribosomal RNA", at positions 35 to 154 of the family's 154-position model. The record is from RNAcentral.